This 254-nucleotide ribosomal RNA is filed under the name uncultured bacterium. RNAcentral describes it as "partial 16S ribosomal RNA". It matches the Rfam family "Bacterial small subunit ribosomal RNA", at positions 524 to 776 of the family's 1533-position model. The record is from RNAcentral.
UACGGGGGGAGCAAGCGUUGUUCGGAUUUACUGGGCGUAAAGGGCGCGUAGGCGGUCGUGACAAAUCACUUGUGAAAUCUCCGGGCUUAACUCGGAACGGUCAAGUGAUACUGUCGGACUAGAGUACAGAAGGGGCAACUGGAAUUCUCGGUGUAGCGGUGAAAUGCGUAGAUAUCGAGAGGAACACCUGCGGCGAAGGCGGGUUGCUGGGCUGAUACUGACGCUGAGGCGCGAAAGCGUGGGGAGCAAACAGG